Gossypium hirsutum (cotton) is the source of this 145-nucleotide non-coding RNA. Lineage: Eukaryota; Viridiplantae; Streptophyta; Magnoliopsida; Malvales; Malvaceae. The record is from Rfam.
UAUUGAAAGUUUCAUCAAUUUCUACUAUUAAAAAUUGACGUGGUCGACAUAAUAACCAAAUAGUUACACGAGGCGUGACACUUAUACCUCAUGGUAACAUACAAGGAAUAAUUUUUAAUAGUAGAAAUUGAUGAAAUUUUUAACA